Molecule: ribosomal RNA, 738 nt
Filed under: Triticum aestivum (bread wheat)
Lineage: Eukaryota; Viridiplantae; Streptophyta; Magnoliopsida; Poales; Poaceae
Description: partial small subunit ribosomal RNA
Source: RNAcentral
AUGACCUUUGCUUUCGGCGGUUCUGGCGUCUAUGAGGUGCCGGACAAGAAGGUGCCGACCCUUGCCACACAGGUUAAUGCUUUCACGAGGCUACUUAAUACUGGGGUCAUCUCAAAACAACAGCUUCAGAGCUCCGUCGCUCUCGUCUCCAUCUCCGGCAGUGACUACAUGACUGGUGCCAAUGUCGACAAUGCCUUCUUGAGUAGCUUCGAUGAUAUCGAUAGUUAUAUUGGGAAUGUGACGACCGACAUUGCGAAGAACGUGAGGAAGCUACAGAGGCUAGGUGUGAGAAAGGUACUAGUGAACAACAUGCAUCCCAUUGGCUGCACGCCUUUGCGGACUAGUGCGAACAACUACACGACAUGCGACCUUCUGGCUAACUAUGCAGCAACUGUGCACAACAACAAUAUAGAACACCUGAUGGGGAACAAGAAUAAUGCCCACAUACUGGACCUCUACACUGCCUUCACCGACAUCGUCAAUCACGCCCCUGGUGAAGGAUCGGAGCAGUCAAACAAUUUCAAGCGCAAGCUGACACCUUGCUGCGAGGCUUCUACCGAGCUGGGGUACUGUGGACAGGUUAGCCCGUCAGGGGAGCGCCUCUACGACCUAUGCAAGAAUCCUGACAAGAACUUCUACUGGGACGAGAGUUACCCGACGACCGCUGGGUGGGAAGCUGUUAUAGAGGCGCUAGAAGAACCUUUGAGGGAGUUCCUAGACCGGGACUAUGUUCCAUGA